RNAcentral lists this ribosomal RNA (567 nucleotides) under Triticum aestivum (bread wheat). RNAcentral's name for it is "partial small subunit ribosomal RNA". The record is from RNAcentral. Lineage: Eukaryota; Viridiplantae; Streptophyta; Magnoliopsida; Poales; Poaceae.
AUGUUGAAUUCACUAGGAUCUUCCAUGUUUAAGUCACCAGGAUCUCCACCAGGUGUUGUGCCGUGCUGGACGAUCUGGAGCUGGAUUUGCUGCUCGGGCUGGGGCUGGAGCUGGCGUCACUUGCCUCUGCCAGGAGCUGCAACUGCCUCUUCCUUGAGCUGCUUCUGGCUUUGCCUGGACCUGCUGCUGGCUGGAGUUGCGCCUGCUGAUGGCGGAGGAGGGAAGCGGAGGAUCUGCUGGAGGAGGAGGGAGGCGGAGCUGCUGGAUCUGGACAGAGGGCUGAGGAGGAGGAGGGAGGUGGAGGAUCUGGGCAGAGGGUGGAGGAAGAGGGAGGCGGAGCUGCUGGAUCUGGACAGAGGGCUGAGGAGGAGGGAGGUGGAGGAUCUGGGCAGAGGAUGGAGGAGGAGGGAGGCGGAGCUUCUGGAUCCGGGAGGAAGACGGCUGGAGGUAGAGGAAGGAGGCGGAAUUCAAAUUGAGGGGGUAACCUGGUCUUUUUCACGGUUUUCGCCUGGUCGGAGAAUUUCUGCAGCGACUGAUUGCAUUCUUAUGCUUCCAGGUUUAUAUUAG